GGGGAAUCUUCCACAAUGGACGGAAGUCUGAUGGAGCAACGCCGCGUGAGUGAUGAAGGUUUUCGGAUCGUAAAACUCUGUUGUAAGGGAAGAACCAGUACGUCAGGCAAUGGACGUACCUUGACGGUACCUUAUUAGAAAGCCACGGCUAACUACGUGCCAGCAGCCGCGGUAAUACGUAGGUGGCAAGCGUUGUCCGGAAUUAUUGGGCGUAAAGCGCGCGCAGGUGGUUUCUUAAGUCUGAUGUGAAAGCCCACGGCUUAACCGUGGAGGGUCAUUGGAAACUGGGAGACUUGAGUGCAGAAGAGGGAGGUGGAAUUCCAAGUGUAGCGGUGAAAUGCGUAGAGAUUUGGAGGACCACCGGUGGCGAAGGCGACUUUCUGGUCUGCAACUAACGCGGGGGCGCAAAAGCGUGGGGAGCAAACA
Molecule: ribosomal RNA, 426 nt
Filed under: uncultured Caryophanaceae bacterium
Lineage: Bacteria; Bacillati; Bacillota; Bacilli; Caryophanales; Caryophanaceae
Description: bacterial SSU rRNA
Rfam family: Bacterial small subunit ribosomal RNA
Source: RNAcentral